RNAcentral lists this ribosomal RNA (888 nucleotides) under uncultured archaeon. RNAcentral's name for it is "bacterial SSU rRNA". It matches the Rfam family "Archaeal small subunit ribosomal RNA", at positions 25 to 922 of the family's 1478-position model. The record is from RNAcentral.
GGCAACGAGGGAGUGAACUAGCAUGCGAGUCAUUGUAGCAAUACAAGGCAGACGGCUCAGUAACGCGUAGUCAACCUAACCUAUGGACGGGAAUAAUCUCGGGAAACUGAGAAUAAUGCUCGAUAGAACACUAUAUCUGGAAUGGUUUGUGUUCCAAAUGAUUUAUCGCUAUAGGAUGGGACUGCGGUCUAUCAGCUUGUUGGUGAGGUAAUGGCCCACCAAGGCUAUAACAGAUACGGGCUCUGAGAGGAGUAGCCCGGAGAUGGGUACUGAGACACGGACCCAGGCCCUAUGGGGCGCAGCAGGCGAGAAAACUUUGCACUGUGCGAAAGCACGACAAGGUUAAUCCGAGUGGUUUCUGCUAAAGGAACCUUUUGUCAGUCCUAGAAACACUGAUGAAUAAGGGGUGGGCAAGUUCUGGUGUCAGCCGCCGCGGUAAAACCAGCACCUCAAGUGGUCAGGAUGACUAUUGGGCCUAAAGCAUCCGUAGCCGGCUCUGUAAGUUUUCGGUUAAAUCUGUACGCUCAACGUACAGGCUGCCGGGAAUACUGCAGAGCUAGGGAGUGGGAGAGGUAGACGGUACUCGGUAGGAAGGGGUAAAAUCCUUUGAUCUAUUGAUGACCACCUGUGGCGAAGGCGGUCUACCAGAACACGUCCGACGGUGAGGGAUGAAAGCUGGGGGAGCAAACCGGAUUAGAUACCCGGGUAGUCCCAGCUGUAAACUAUGCAAACUCAGUGAUGCAUUGGCUUGUGGCCAAUGCAGUGCUGCAGGGAAGCCGUUAAGUUUGCCGCCUGGGGAAGUACGUACGCACGUAUGAAACUUAAAGGAAUUGGCGGGGGAGCACCACAAGGGGUGAAGCCUGCGGUUCAAUUGGAGUCAACGCCGGG